UGGAAUCUUUUUAGAAGGUCUUGAAAUUUGCUGGACUGUAACUUAAAUCAGUCUAGUUAAAACAAAAUUGUUACUGAAAAUUCUUAACAAUUAAGUUUCUGUCUUUUAUGGGUUGCAUGCAUUAAUUCCCUUUAUGCCUUUGUAAAUAUGAAAUUCAAGUAUUUCGAAGGAAGUAGAUUAAGUUAUUUAGUACUGAUAAUGAUUUCCUUCUUGAGGCCAGACCAAUUUUAUUUCUUGUUUUACGGAUCCGCCGGUCAUAUUUUUUUCAAGAAUAAAAACAAAAAUAAAAGUGAAUUUUCUUGCUCAAAACAUAAAAUCCUAAUGUUUAUGUGAUAUAACUGAAUACCCUUGAAAUCAGUAUGAAACCUAAACUCACUCAACUUAUUUUUAGUUGAUAUAAACAAACCAAAAGAGUUAAUAUGGAUACUCAUGUAGGUUGUUGCUUUGACUGGUGAUUUUACUUUAUUUAUUUUCCCUCCUGCCUUUAGGUUUUCUGAGGACAAAAAUCUACAAACAAGAAAUAAAAUUGGUCUGGCCUUAUCUCUGAAAUUAGUUUCUGUCCACUGGACACCCCCAUACUGAUGUGUUAAUGCCAGUCGUCAAAGACAUGAAAAUAUUCAGUACUGCUACACAAGACAGGUGUCGCUGGCUGAUUACCAAUAUAUAGUGUCAAAAUUAAUGCACAUGGGUCAAAUGAAUUUAUUUUUUUCAAGCAGUGGUUUCAAAAUAAGUAUUUUCAAGACAUUUACCAACAUCCAAGGUCUUUUUCAUGGUUUGUAGCCAGUGGACCAUUUGUUGUCAGAUGUCAAUAGUAAUGUAUGAUGAACAUAGACAAUCGGUAAGUUUCAACCAGUACUUCUUGGUGCCAUUUGUCAUACCACAGUCAAUAUACCUGGAAUCUAUAGCAGAAUGUUGACAAGAUACUCUAUUAUAUGAGAAACACACUAUGAAUGUUUGUACCUUCAAUUGUUUUAUUGUUUGUUAUAGGAAUUAUAUGACAUCUGUGGUAAUAUGUAUUUCACCAUCGCUCAAUUACUUUCUUGUUGCUAGGUACUGCUAUUUAUAUUGUAAUCAUUAAUCCUCCAAAGCCAACACCUGCCAUCUCUUGGUCACUGUAAAUAUUAUUUUUAAUUUGGGUUAUGUUAUUGAUUAUACAUUUUGUUCUAAAACUGAGAAAAGGAACUCGCUGUUACAAAUGGCAUAAAAUGUAAUUAGUUCAUCCAUAAAACUCUUUCACAAUAAAUGUCACGAAAUUGUUCUGUUUUAACACGAACACGUCACCUUAUUGCAGCAAUUGCAAUAACCACUUUUCUGUGAUAUUUUUUAAUUACAAUAUUUUGAUAUAUACAUCCUAUAUCUUUAUAACACCCUGUUUCACAAGGAUUACAGAAGGUAUUUGAGAUUAAUACCUUCAUUAUUAUAUUGAAUUCAUCACAUUAGAUUAUUUCUGCUAGAUCAACCUAUCUGAUCAGUAAUUAGUUGGACAGACCUCGCAGCUUGUUCCAGUACAUUCAUUAAAAUAUAUUUAUUUCAUCAAAGAUGUAAAUUUCAAGAUAUUCUUAAUGCAUGAAACCAGUCAACUAGACAUUGCUGUUCUGUGUUAACAUCACAAAAUUCCCAACAAUGAGGCUUUGCGUUACCAUACUUGUUCAGUAGUUGAGACCUGUUUGUCCAUUUGUUGUUGGCUUGCUUUGGAUCUCUUGUGGCCAUGUAGAAUUCUGGUAGUACUGUGUGGCAACAUGUUUUAUCUGAUCAUGUCUUUCAUUUAAUUUACAAAUUUGAAAAUAAAUAUAUAUUUUAUACAA
Molecule: long non-coding RNA, 1805 nt
Organism: Haliotis rubra (blacklip abalone)
Lineage: Eukaryota; Metazoa; Mollusca; Gastropoda; Lepetellida; Haliotidae
Exons: 2
Source: RefSeq, a predicted model, not a curated record